UUGAUUUGCUUGAAAGAUUGGAGUUUAGCAAAAUCAAGGAUGCAAGAGGCUCAGCGUGAAAUGCAGCUAGCUGAAGAAAGGAGGCUCAUUAGGGAAGGACGACCAGAUUGGAUGGAAAAUAGUGAAGAUGAAGCUGGAAAUGAAGCUGGAAAUGAAUCUGAUGAUUCUGGAAUGGAGUCCGAUGAACAUGUGAGACAAGUUGAAUCCCAUGAGCUUUCAACCAAUAUCCCGCCUUAAUCUUGCUGGAAAUAAUGCACUCUUUCACACAUCACAGGCCAUUCUGGGUAUACAAGCCUUCUCCCUUCCUUUGUUUUUUCUAGCUGGUUGUCUAUGGGCAGAAUGGCAGAUUUGUUCACAGUUCACAUGAGCCUCAAUGUUGCCAAGCCAGAUGCGAAGAAGAGGAACAACCUUAUGGAAGACAACAUGCCUAAGUAGAUAUAGAAGUUGUAUUAUUAAUCUGCUUUUGUUUUAAG
This is a long non-coding RNA of Rosa rugosa (rugosa rose), 473 nucleotides long. RefSeq lists it as uncharacterized. The transcript is spliced from 3 exons. NCBI's taxonomy places the organism in Eukaryota, Viridiplantae, Streptophyta, Magnoliopsida, Rosales, Rosaceae. The record is from RefSeq and is a predicted model, not a curated record.